AGCGUAGACGGACUGGCAAGUCUGAUGUGAAAGGCGGGGGCUCAACCCCUGGACUGCAUUGGAAACUGUUAGUCUUGAGUGCCGGAGAGGUAAGCGGAAUUCCUAGUGUAGCGGUGAAAUGCGUAGAUAUUAGGAGGAACACCAGUGGCGAAAGCGGCUUUCUGGACGACAACUGACGCUGAGGCGCGAAAGCCAGGGAGCAAACG
Molecule: ribosomal RNA, 206 nt
Filed under: uncultured bacterium
Lineage: Bacteria
Description: partial 16S ribosomal RNA
Rfam family: Bacterial small subunit ribosomal RNA
Source: RNAcentral